AUAAUGGGUCAGCGACUUAUAUUCUGUAGCAAGGUUAACCGAAUAGGGGAGCCGAAGGGAAACCGAGUCUUAACUGGGCGUUAAGUUGCAGGGUAUAGACCCGAAACCCGGUGAUCUAGCCAUGGGCAGGUUGAAGGUUGGGUAACACUAACUGGAGGACCGAACCGACUAAUGUUGAAAAAUUAGCGGAUGACUUGUGGCUGGGGGUGAAAGGCCAAUCAAACCGGGAGAUAGCUGGUUCUCCCCGAAAGCUAUUUAGGUAGCGCCUCGUGAAUUCAUCUCCGGGGGUAGAGCACUGUUUCGGCAAGGGGGUCAUCCCGACUUACCAACCCGAUGCAAACUGCGAAUACCGGAGAAUGUUAUCACGGGAGACACACGGCGGGUGCUAACGUCCGUCGUGAAGAGGGAAACAACCCAGACCGCCAGCUAAGGUCCCAAAGUCAUGGUUAAGUGGGAAACGAUGUGGGAAGGCCCAGACAGCCAGGAUGUUGGCUUAGAAGCAGCCAUCAUUUAAAGAAAGCGUAAUAGCUCACUGGUCGAGUCGGCCUGCGCGGAAGAUGUAACGGGGCUAAACCAUGCACCGAAGCUGCGGCAGCGACGCUGAUGCGUUGUUGGGUAGGGGAGCGUUCUGUAAGCCUGCGAAGGUGUGCUGUGAGGCAUGCUGGAGGUAUCAGAAGUGCGAAUGCUGACAUAAGUAACGAUAAAGCGGGUGAAAAGCCCGCUCGCCGGAAGACCAAGGGUUCCUGUCCAACGUUAAUCGGGGCAGGGUGAGUCGACCCCUAAGGCGAGGCCGAAAGGCGUAGUCGAUGGGAAACAGGUUAAUAUUCCUGUACUUGGUGUUACUGCGAAGGGGGGACGGAGAAGGCUAUGUUGGCCGGGCGACGGUUGUCCCGGUUUAAGCGUGUAGGCUGGUUUUCCAGGCAAAUCCGGAAAAUCAAGGCUGAGGCGUGAUGACGAGGCACUACGGUGCUGAAGCAACAAAUGCCCUGCUUCCAGGAAAAGCCUCUAAGCAUCAGGUAACAUCAAAUCGUACCCCAAACCGACACAGGUGGUCAGGUAGAGAAUACCAAGGCGCUUGAGAGAACUCGGGUGAAGGAACUAGGCAAAAUGGUGCCGUAACUUCGGGAGAAGGCACGCUGAUAUGUAGGUGAAGUCCCUCGCGGAUGGAGCAGAAAUCAGUCGAAGAUACCAGCUGGCUGCAACUGUUUAUUAAAAACACAGCACUGUGCAAACACGAAAGUGGACGUAUACGGUGUGACGCCUGCCCGGUGCCGGAAGGUUAAUUGAUGGGGUCAGCGCAAGCGAAGCUCUUGAUCGAAGCCCCGGUAAACGGCGGCCGUAACUAUAACGGUCCUAAGGUAGCGAAAUUCCUUGUCGGGUAAGUUCCGACCUGCACGAAUGGCGUAAUGAUGGCCAGGCUGUCUCCACCCGAGACUCAGUGAAAUUGAACUCGCUGUGAAGAUGCAGUGUACCCGCGGCAAGACGGAAAGACCCCGUGAACCUUUACUAUAGCUUGACACUGAACAUUGAGCCUUGAUGUGUAGGAUAGGUGGGAGGCUUUGAAGUGUGGACGCCAGUCUGCAUGGAGCCGACCUUGAAAUACCACCCUUUAAUGUUUGAUGUUCUAACGUUGACCCGU
This 1639-nucleotide ribosomal RNA is filed under the name Escherichia coli. RNAcentral's name for it is "partial 23S ribosomal RNA". It matches the Rfam family "Bacterial large subunit ribosomal RNA", at positions 612 to 2236 of the family's 2925-position model. The record is from RNAcentral. Lineage: Bacteria; Pseudomonadati; Pseudomonadota; Gammaproteobacteria; Enterobacterales; Enterobacteriaceae.